GGGGGCGUAUUUGGUUUCGACGGGGAUCGUGGAGUUUGAAGAAGCGAGCGGCAGCCCCGAACUGCCUUAAAAUCGGGAAAAACAAUAACUGCGAACAAUAACAGUUACGCUGUAGCCGCCUAAGAGCGGUUACCGUCGGCCCUGAGCCUCCUGCGGCGCGGGUCACCGGCGUCACAAAUGCAGGGAACGGGCGCGGCAAAGCUUUGAGCCGCUCCGGCACUUAUGAAGCUACCUGAGGCUCGAUCCCGUCUGUGGGAGCCUGUCAAGGGGAAUUUUAAAUCGCAGACUGCGCUCGGAGACGCUUCAGGCAACAGGUUUUCGGACAGGGGUUCGAAACCCCUCGCCUCCACCA
This 352-nucleotide transfer-messenger RNA is filed under the name Christensenellales. RNAcentral describes it as "RUG14130 sp902796025 Standard tmRNA". It matches the Rfam family "transfer-messenger RNA". Rfam says of the family: Bacterial tmRNA, also known as 10Sa RNA or SsrA, is named for its dual tRNA and mRNA-like properties. Its role is to liberate the mRNA from a stalled ribosome. To accomplish this part of the tmRNA is used as a reading frame that ends in a translation stop signal. RNAcentral also lists the same sequence under 1 other name. Lineage: Bacteria; Bacillati; Bacillota; Clostridia. The record is from RNAcentral.